This 858-nucleotide long non-coding RNA is filed under the name Olea europaea subsp. europaea. The stretch from base 639 to 745 matches the Rfam family "Plant small nucleolar RNA R71". Lineage: Eukaryota; Viridiplantae; Streptophyta; Magnoliopsida; Lamiales; Oleaceae. The record is from RNAcentral.
UGAAUUUCCAAGUUCUUGAUUGCAGCACUCUGAUUUUGAAGGGUUGUCUCAAUUCUUCUCAUGAAUUGAUUGUUUGUCUCAAUUUAUUGCUUUGUCUUUUCCAUAAAUUUGCCAAACAUCUCUUCUAGCGGAGUUCUCUUCUUAGGCUACUGAUACUGAUAACCAUGCGAUGCCGUGGGAUUUUGAUUACUCCAAGAAAAAUUUGGGUGCUUUUCCCGACCAAGGUUGUAUGUAUCCGAAUGUGGGUUAUUUUGCCUCCUUGUACAUAUUCAACAUGUUCAAUAUUUUGUGCAAGAAUUGGACAAUUGGCUGUAAUAUGAUCUGUCCCACAUUCUUCACAACUUAGGUGCUUGACCUAUAUUGCAUUGGCCAACUGUGUGCUAUCAAACUUAUGAACUAGAGAAUCAAUUUUUGCAAAUAAGGGUGUGUAAGUGUCCAUCGCAUAUACUCCUGCUGCCUUCUUAUGAAUAACUCGCUCAGAAGCCCACAUGGCUGUAGUAGUAGCCACUUUCUCAAAUAACUCCAAGGCUUCAUCAAUUGUCUUUAUGAAUAAAGAGCCAUUGGAUGAUGAGUCUACCAUGCUUUUAUAAGAUGAAAGUAGACAUGCAUAAAAUUAUUGGACCCGAAGCCCAUUACAGAUGCCAUGAUAAGGGCACUUACUAAGCAUGUUCUUGAAUCUAUUCCAAGCUUCGUCAAAGGAUUCUGUUUCUCCCUAUCGAAAUAUGGAUAUGUCAUGUUUCAACUUCGCAAUCUUCUUCGAUGGAAAGAAUUUGGUACGGAAUUUUUAAGUCAAGUCAUUCCAAAUAGUGAUACCGGCAAUAGACUGUGAAUCUAACCAUUCAAGCGUUCUAUCGCGUA